RNAcentral lists this long non-coding RNA (2182 nucleotides) under Vigna radiata. Its description in RNAcentral is "long non-coding RNA (VRAD_LNC018200)". Lineage: Eukaryota; Viridiplantae; Streptophyta; Magnoliopsida; Fabales; Fabaceae. The record is from RNAcentral.
AAAAACAUUUGCUUUGCUUUGUGUUUCCUUUUUCUUGAGUUAGUCAUCUUACUUGCAAUCAUCAAACUGGUCUUUAUUUUCAAUGUUUUGUAAAAAUUAAGGAAUGUCAUACAUCCGAGGUCUAAACUUUUAGAUUAUUUUGACUUUUUCUUUCGAGACUUCAGUGCACACAUGCUUGAAUUUAUAGGCAAAUGAAAAGACGAGAGAUGUUUAGAAAGGUUUAGAGGAGAAUGGAAUAGUUGUAUAGACAAGUCAUUCCUCAUAUAAUCCUCAAAGGAGAUGUGAUAUGAGAAUGUCAAGAUGAAACACGAGAUACGCCAAGGGUGCCCCAGCUUGAUGUUUUGGAAAAUGAGCUGGGGUAUGGAAAUUAGGGUGAAAUUUCAAAUGAGAUUUGCAAAGCUGCCCCAGUCUUAAGGUUAUGGAUUGAUGAAAAACUCGUGUGAGACUUACAAAGCUGCCCCAGUUUUUUUUUUUUGCAUAGGGUUCUGUUUGGAAGAGGUAAUGGGCAUGAAAAUGAUAGGCUAAAUGGAUGGUCCCCAACUGGUUUGAUUUUCUUCUGCGUGCUUCUGGCUAGUUGGCAGGGAGAUCCCCUCUUCCUGAGACAUUACUUUUUUCUCUUCUUUUCUUGUUUUCAAUCAUUCAUUUUAAAAUCUUUUUUUUUUGGUGCGACACAUUGAACGUCACUUCGCCUUAACGCAAAAUUAAGCUUUAUGAAAAUUUGAGCAAUCAUGAUCCAAUCUGUGUGGGCUUUACUAGGCUUGUAACGUGGCUAGGGUCUAAAAGGUAUUAGAAGAAAGGGUAUAAAGGCCCAAAUAAAUGCUUGUUGGUUAUUACUUCUUGAAAUAAGAGUUAUCAUCUAGGCAUUCCACCAACCUUUUGACUUUUGAACACUUUGCUUUUUUCUCAAACUUUGACUUUUAUUCUUUUUGCUCAACAUCACUUUGUGAUUGAUUUUUUUUGUUCUUUUUGCUUUGUUCUUUUUUGUUUUGUUCACUCUUCUUGAUGAAUCUUUUUCGUUUAAUCAUUGAGUGCUCUUCAUUUUCGUCAUGAGUUGACUCCUACCUGAUGAUAACCCUUGCUUGGGGAUAAUUUUGAAAAAGAANNNNNNNNNNNNNNNNNNNNNNNNNNNNNNNNNNNNNNNNNNNNNNNNNNNNNNNNNNNNUUUUAGGUAAAGACAAGAAGGCCACACAUCAUUUUGAACUCUGAUUGCUUUAUUUUCAAAAGAUUAACUUUGUGACUAGAUGACUUCAACAUAAAUCGUUUUUUUUUUUUUUUUGCUUUUCCUUUUCUAGACCGCCCUUUCAGUUUUUCAAUCUAGUGGAAUGCUUCUUCUUGUUUUGUUUUUUUCUUCCUUUUUUUUGUCCCAAUGGAUUCAGGGAUCACCUUACUAGCGCAAGAAAGAAAACUUUUGGUUAGGCCAAUCUACCCCUGUGUAAAGGUUUACUUUGGAACUGAGGGUAGUGACAAUGUUUGUUGGGAAAGAUUCUUUGUUUUGGAAAAGCGAAGGAUGAAGGUCUUCAAGCAAGAUGUGCACAAACGUCUUGAGAAAAAUGUCAAAUUUUUAUUUUUGAUUAAAUAUUUGACCUCGCAAAAGUCUGACACUGCAACUUUUGUUUUUGAUUUAUCAUUUUUUUGGUUAUAUUGAUAAAAAAUGAGUUUAACAAUUCGUAAGAAAGACAAGUGACUCAAGAUAUGCACAAGAUGCGUGAUUUUAUCAAGUGAAAAUGAGGGUUAGAAGACUGCACACAUCUCUCUUUGUGCCCCUAUAGAGGUUCGACGCUUAAGAUUCAAGGUCAAGUAUAUGCAAUCUCACAAGGAUGGUUCCCUGAGCCUAAGGAUCAAUGGUCACUAGAGCUAUGGCCCCCUCCACAGCAUCUCCACAACAGUCGAGUAAUCAACUAGGUGUGAAGACACAAGUAAGGAGGACAGACUCUAGCUGGAGUUCUCACGAUAGCCAGACAGGGAAGUACAUGCCAGAGUGACACUGCUACACAACUCCUCCAAUUCUAAGUUACACUCAGACCCGGGUAUACGGCCUCACUCAAAAUAUGCACAAAGUGUGUGUGUGUGAAGGGAGAAUGCAAUGCACCCAAACCCUCACCUACAAAACAACUAAAAAAUUUUCCCAAGCAAAUAUAACAUGUUUUCUACCCUACGGUUCAAUAUACAAGCAAGUCACCUG